This 207-nucleotide ribosomal RNA is filed under the name uncultured bacterium. RNAcentral describes it as "partial 16S ribosomal RNA". It matches the Rfam family "Bacterial small subunit ribosomal RNA", at positions 568 to 774 of the family's 1533-position model. The record is from RNAcentral.
UGCGUAGGCGGUUGGGUAAGUCAGAGGUGAAAUUCCGGGGCUCAACCUCGGAACUGCCUUUGAUACUGCCUGACUAGAGUACUGGAGAGGAGACUGGAAUUCACGGUGUAGCAGUGAAAUGCGUAGAUAUCGUGAGGAGGACCAGUGGCGAAGGCGAGUCUCUGGACAGUUACUGACGCUGAGGCACGAAGGCUAGGGGAGCAAACG